UACGGGGGGAGCAAGCGUUGUUCGGAUUUACUGGGCGUAAAGGGCGCGUAGGCGGUCACGACAAGUCAGUUGUGAAAUCUCCGGGCUUAACUCGGAACGGUCAACUGAUACUGUCGGACUAGAGUGCAGAAGGGGCAACUGGAAUUCUCGGUGUAGCGGUGAAAUGCGUAGAUAUCGAGAGGAACACCUGCGGCGAAGGCAGCUCGCUGGGACGUUACUGACGCUGAGACGCGAAAGCGUGGGGAGCAAACAGG
RNAcentral lists this ribosomal RNA (254 nucleotides) under uncultured bacterium. Its description in RNAcentral is "partial 16S ribosomal RNA". It matches the Rfam family "Bacterial small subunit ribosomal RNA", at positions 524 to 776 of the family's 1533-position model. The record is from RNAcentral.